UUCGCGGUCUUUGUGUUCCUGAGGGGCGGAGGGGUGGGAGAGUCUCGUGCGGCCCCCGCGAUGCAUCAGCUAUACUAUUCCUUCUUGUGGCUUCAAAAUAGAUCUGCCACCAAAUGCACAGCCUUGAUGCCACUUCACAAGGAUUUGACUCCUGCCCUCAGCAGACGUGCAGAAGGAACAUCACCUGGCACUGGGAGAUAAAGCUCUAACCUGUGUAAGAUUGCCCUGGACAGAGGAGACCUGUGCCUCUUGUGAGAGAAGCUAUUUCAUCUGUUACUGAUGUUGGUGAAGACAAGGCCUUCCUAAUUGCAGGCUUCCAAAAUGUUUCUCCUUGCAAGGUGCAGUGGAGCCAGGAAUUGGGGCAGUUGGGAGUGCUGCCAGCAAAGGGGUGAAUCUUGUGAGGAGUUUCUGUGAGAAACAAGGUGGAUGUGCCUGAGGUAAGUGUAGAGUACAUGGGGGAAAGGACUGUGCUGUUUGCAGCCUCACUGGGUGAGGAAGCAACUCUGCAAUUACUGUAUCAAGAACUGAGAAGGUGGAGGAUUGCAGUAUAACUGGCUACACUUGCAUGAACAGCAUUAAAAAGCCAAAGUGGUUUUUUUUACCCCACUGGUAAUGUUUGCCUGACACUGGUUGGAGCCAAUAAAAAUCUGCAAACUCUG
Neopelma chrysocephalum (saffron-crested tyrant-manakin) is the source of this 659-nucleotide long non-coding RNA. RefSeq lists it as uncharacterized. The record is from RefSeq and is a predicted model, not a curated record. The transcript is spliced from 12 exons. Lineage: Eukaryota; Metazoa; Chordata; Aves; Passeriformes; Pipridae.